RNAcentral lists this ribosomal RNA (406 nucleotides) under uncultured bacterium. Its description in RNAcentral is "partial 16S ribosomal RNA". It matches the Rfam family "Bacterial small subunit ribosomal RNA", at positions 30 to 526 of the family's 1533-position model. The record is from RNAcentral.
AUUGAACGCUGGCGGCAGGCCUAACACAUGCAAGUCGAACGAGUGGCGGAAGGGUGAGUAAUGUCUGGGAAACUGCCUGAUGGAGGGGGAUAACUCCUGGAAACGGUAGCUAAUACCGCAUACCAUCAGAUGUGCCCAGAUGGGAUUAGCUAGUUGUGGGGGUAACGGCGCACCAAGGCGACGAUCCCUAGCUGGUCUGAGAGGAUGACCAGCCACACUGGAACUGAGACACGGUCCAGACUCCUACGGGAGGCAGCAGUGGGGAAUAUUCCACAAUGGGCGCAAGCCUGAUGCAGCAAGGCCGCGUGUAUGAAGAAGGCCUUCGGGUUGUAAAGUACUUUCAUCGGGGAGGCGUUACCCGCAGAAGAAGCACCGGCUAACUCCGUGCCAGCAGCCGCGGUAAUUC